RNAcentral lists this ribosomal RNA (770 nucleotides) under uncultured bacterium. RNAcentral's name for it is "bacterial SSU rRNA". It matches the Rfam family "Bacterial small subunit ribosomal RNA", at positions 59 to 794 of the family's 1533-position model. The record is from RNAcentral.
CAGUCGAACGAGUUCUCGUUGAUGAUCGGUGCUUGCACCGAGAUUCACCUGUAACGAGUGGCGGACGGGUGAGUAACACGUGGGUAACCCGCCCUUAAGUGGGGGAUAACAUUUGGAAACAGAUGCUAAUACCGCAUAGAUCCAAGAACCGCAUGGUUCUUGGCUGAAAGAUGGCGUAAGCUAUCGCUUUUGGAUGGACCCGCGGCGUAUUAGCUAGUUGGUGAGGUAAUGGCUCACCAAGGCGAUGAUACGUAGCCGAACUGAGAGGUUGAUCGGCCACAUUGGGACUGAGACACGGCCCAAACUCCUACGGGAGGCAGCAGUAGGGAAUCUUCCACAAUGGACGCAAGUCUGAUGGAGCAACGCCGCGUGAGUGAAGAAGGCUUUCGGGUCGUAAAACUCUGUUGUUGGAGAAGAAUGGUCGGCAGAGUAACUGUUGUCGGCGUGACGGUAUCCAACCAGAAAGCCACGGCUAACUACGUGCCAGCAGCCGCGGUAAUACGUAGGUGGCAAGCGUUAUCCGGAUUUAUUGGGCGUAAAGCGAGCGCAGGCGGUUUUUUAAGUCUGAUGUGAAAGCCCUCGGCUUAACCGAGGAAGCGCAUCGGAAACUGGGAAACUUGAGUGCAGAAGAGGACAGUGGAACUCCAUGUGUAGCGGUGAAAUGCGUAGAUAUAUGGAAGAACACCAGUGGCGAAGGCGGCUGUCUGGUCUGUAACUGACGCUGAGGCUCGAAAGCAUGGGUAGCGAACAGGAUUAGAUACCCUGGUAGU